GCCAUUAUAGCAAUAAAGGAAGAGCAAACAAAUGCUGCAGAGCUCGAAAGUCCAGACCCUGUAGGAACUGUACCAUCAACAAUAACAUCAAGUCCAACAGGUUUACCAACAUCUAUCCCUUUCAACUUGGCAUAUUCAUAGAAACCCUUGUACCCACAAAUGAAAUAAUGACCCCAUCUGUGAUUCUUCAGAUCAACCUCCUGUAGAGGAUCAGCAGGGUAAGUACACAAGGAGUACUUAUCACUAUUCACAUUGGCAAUUCUAAGAAGUUUCUGAGGUUCACUAGAGUCGUGUUUUCGUAUAGCCACAAUUGUAUCUUGCCGAAUUGCCAUAGGCAAAACAGAGUAACCCUCAUAGUCUAUGUGUUCUCCAAUCAGAUUCACUCUCCCUGGGGAUCGAGCGUAGACAUGAGGGGAUUGGCCAAAUAAGUCUAUAAACUUGGCUUUCAAAUUCUUGAAUCGAAGUUGAGCCUCUUCAAGCUGUGAUCCACUACCAUAAACAGGUUCAAGAUCAGAGAAAAUUGGAAUUGGUAAUUCCUCGUGUCUAGCCAUUCAAUUUCAAUUUUUGUGCAGCAACAGUGAAAUCUGAAAGAAGAAUUACAAGGAAUAUACAGAUGAAAAGAGAGAAAGAGACG
This 634-nucleotide unclassified non-coding RNA is filed under the name Hevea brasiliensis (rubber tree). The record is from RNAcentral. Lineage: Eukaryota; Viridiplantae; Streptophyta; Magnoliopsida; Malpighiales; Euphorbiaceae.